UGCAGAUGAUGUGAAAGAAUAUUUGCUAUCUGAGUGAUAGUGCUGACACGUUACCACCAAGAUCACUGAUGCA
RNAcentral lists this small nucleolar RNA (73 nucleotides) under Pelecanus crispus (Dalmatian pelican). RNAcentral's name for it is "Small nucleolar RNA SNORD24". It matches the Rfam family "Small nucleolar RNA SNORD24". From Rfam's summary of the family: U24 is a member of the C/D class of snoRNA which contain the C (UGAUGA) and D (CUGA) box motifs. The record is from Rfam by way of RNAcentral. Lineage: Eukaryota; Metazoa; Chordata; Aves; Pelecaniformes; Pelecanidae.